AGGCAGCAGGCGCGUAAAUUACCCAAUCCUGAUUCAGGGAGGUAGUGACAAGAAAUAACAACCUGGGGGAAUUUAUUCCUUACGGGAUUGCAAUGAGAACAAUUUAAACGACUUAUCGAGGAACAAUUGGAGGGCAAGUCUGGUGCCAGCAGCCGCGGUAAUUCCAGCUCCGUUAGCGUAUAUUAAAUUUGUUGCAGUUAAAAAGCUCGUAGUUGAAUUUCUGGUAGGAGUGACCUGGCCUUUGACGAAUGUCAAUGUUUGCUGUGUGUCAUCUCUGGCCAUCCUCGGCCUGCUUUUAGUAGGCCGUCAUUUACUGUAAAAAAAUUAGAGUGUUUCAAGCAUUUUGUAUGAAAAGAAUAUAUUAGUAUGGAAUAAUAAGAUAGGACUUUGGUGCUAUUUUGUUGGUUUGCACACCAAAGUAAUGAUGAAUAGGGACAGUUGGGGGUAUUCGUAUUUAAUUGUCAGAGGUGAAAUUCUUGGAUUUAUGAAAGACGAACUACUGCGAAGGCAUUUACCAAGGAUGUUUUCAUUGAUCAAGAACGAAAGUAUGGGGAUCGAAGAUGAUUAGAUACCAUCGUAGUCUAUACUUCAAACUAUGCCGACUUGCGAUUGUCUGGUGGUGUUUUUUGGCCCCAGGCAGCAGCACAUGAGAAAUCAAAGUCUUUGGGUUCCGGGGGGAGUAUGGUCGCAAG
RNAcentral lists this ribosomal RNA (692 nucleotides) under Mucochytrium quahogii. Its description in RNAcentral is "labyrinthulid quahog parasite QPX partial Eukaryotic small subunit ribosomal RNA". It matches the Rfam family "Eukaryotic small subunit ribosomal RNA", at positions 423 to 1135 of the family's 1831-position model. Lineage: Eukaryota; Bigyra; Thraustochytrida; Thraustochytriidae. The record is from RNAcentral.